RNAcentral lists this ribosomal RNA (233 nucleotides) under uncultured bacterium. RNAcentral's name for it is "partial 16S ribosomal RNA". It matches the Rfam family "Bacterial small subunit ribosomal RNA", at positions 524 to 755 of the family's 1533-position model. The record is from RNAcentral.
UACGUAGGGUGCGAGCGUUGUCCGGAAUUAUUGGGCGUAAAGAGCUCGUAGGCGGUUUGUCGCGUCUGCUGUGAAAACCUAAGGCUCAACCUUGGGCUUGCAGUGGGUACGGGCAGACUAGAGUGCGGUAGGGGUGACUGGAAUUCCUGGUGUAGCGGUGGAAUGCGCAGAUAUCAGGAGGAACACCGGUGGCGAAGGCGGCUUUCUGGGUCUUACCUGACGCUGGAGGAACG